Molecule: non-coding RNA, 117 nt
Organism: Aedes aegypti (yellow fever mosquito)
Lineage: Eukaryota; Metazoa; Arthropoda; Insecta; Diptera; Culicidae
Source: Rfam
UGCCCAGCAACUCCUAUCCCUACCUCCUCGUGGUACUGGCCGGGGUACGAGUAACAUUGGAGAAGAUCAGGUAUCCAAACCCCGGUGGGAACUUUGGUCGUAUGCUGACAGGGAAGG